RNAcentral lists this non-coding RNA (89 nucleotides) under unclassified sequences. RNAcentral's name for it is "DUF3800-VII RNA". It matches the Rfam family "DUF3800-VII RNA". The record is from Rfam by way of RNAcentral.
UGCGGGCAGGCGCCGGGAAGUCUCCGAGUUGUCUUCGCGACAGCAGCGUCCAUUGCGGCGUGCAUCAGGAGCCGGGGGCCCGCGCCUUU